GAUGAACGCUAGCUACAGGCUUAACACAUGCAAGUCGAGGGGAAACGAUAGGGAAAGCUUGCUUUUUCUAGGCGUCGACCGGCGCACGGGUGAGUAACGCGUAUCCAACCUGCCCAUCACUUGGGGAUAACCUUGCGAAAGUAAGACUAAUACCCAAUGACGUCUCUAGAGGACAUCUGAAGGAGAUUAAAGAUUUAUCGGUGAUGGAUGGGGAUGCGUCUGAUUAGCUUGUUGGCGGGGUAACGGCCCACCAAGGCGACGAUCAGUAGGGGUUCUGAGAGGAAGGUCCCCCACAUUGGAACUGAGACACGGUCCAAACUCCUACGGGAGGCAGCAGUGAAGAAUAUUGGUCAAUGGACAAGAGUCUGAACCAGCCAAGUAGCGUGCAGGAAGACGGCCCUAUGGGUUGUAAACUGCUUUUAUAAGGGAAUAAAGUGAGUCUCGUGAGACUUUUUGCAUGUACCUUAUGAAUAAGGACCGGCUAAUUCCGUGCCAGCCGCCGCGGUAA
RNAcentral lists this ribosomal RNA (508 nucleotides) under uncultured bacterium. RNAcentral's name for it is "partial 16S ribosomal RNA". It matches the Rfam family "Bacterial small subunit ribosomal RNA", at positions 28 to 523 of the family's 1533-position model. The record is from RNAcentral.